GAUGAAGAACUCAGCGAAAUGCGAUAAGUAAUGUGAAUUGCAGAAUUCAGUGAAUCAUCGAAUCUUUGAACGCACCUUGCACCCUUUGGCAUUCUGAAGGGUAUGCUCGUUUGAGUGUCAUUGUACUCUCACACUCCCGAUCUUUGCAUUGGGAGCAGUGGACUUGGGUUUGCUGCUUCACCGUCGCUUACCUCAAAUAGGUUAGUGCAACUCUUGGUUGGACAUAGUACGGCGUGAUAAGUGUUCUUCGCCGGUGCCUCGCAAAGAGGGUGGCCGAUCGGGAUGUUGUGCUCCAAACCGUCUUCGGACAAUCUCUGACGACUUGACCUCAAAUCGAGUAAGACUACCCGCUGAACUUAAGCAUAUCAAUAAGCGGAGGA
Molecule: unclassified non-coding RNA, 380 nt
Filed under: soil metagenome
Description: partial contains 5.8S ribosomal RNA, internal transcribed spacer 2, and large subunit ribosomal RNA
Rfam family: 5.8S ribosomal RNA (bases 1-120)
Source: RNAcentral